RNAcentral lists this ribosomal RNA (465 nucleotides) under uncultured Klebsiella sp. Its description in RNAcentral is "bacterial SSU rRNA". It matches the Rfam family "Bacterial small subunit ribosomal RNA", at positions 338 to 795 of the family's 1533-position model. Lineage: Bacteria; Pseudomonadati; Pseudomonadota; Gammaproteobacteria; Enterobacterales; Enterobacteriaceae. The record is from RNAcentral.
CCUACGGGAGGCAGCAGUAGGGAAUAUUGCACAAUGGGCGCAAGCCUGAUGCAGCCAUGCCGCGUGUGUGAAGAAGGCCUUCGGGUUGUAAAGCACUUUCAGCGGGGAGGAAGGCGUUAAGGUUAAUAACCUUGUCGAUUGACGUUACCCGCAGAAGAAGCACCGGCUAACUCCGUGCCAGCAGCCGCGGUAAUACGGAGGGUGCAAGCGUUAAUCGGAAUUACUGGGCGUAAAGCGCACGCAGGCGGUCUGUCAAGUCGGAUGUGAAAUCCCCGGGCUCAACCUGGGAACUGCAUUCGAAACUGGCAGGCUAGAGUCUUGUAGAGGGGGGUAGAAUUCCAGGUGUAGCGGUGAAAUGCGUAGAGAUCUGGAGGAAUACCGGUGGCGAAGGCGGCCCCCUGGACAAAGACUGACGCUCAGGUGCGAAAGCGUGGGGAGCAAACAGGAUUAGAUACCCUUGUAGUC